RNAcentral lists this transfer RNA (77 nucleotides) under Candidatus Ryanbacteria bacterium RIFCSPHIGHO2_02_FULL_45_13b. Its description in RNAcentral is "tRNA-Glu". It matches the Rfam family "tRNA". Rfam says of the family: Transfer RNA (tRNA) molecules are approximately 80 nucleotides in length. Their secondary structure includes four short double-helical elements and three loops (D, anti-codon, and T loops). Lineage: Bacteria; Candidatus Ryaniibacteriota. The record is from RNAcentral.
GGCCCUAUCGUCUAGCCUGGUCAGGACACAAGCUUUUCAAGCUUGGUACCCGGGUUCAAAUCCCGGUGGGGCCGCCG